Molecule: ribosomal RNA, 670 nt
Filed under: uncultured archaeon
Lineage: Archaea
Description: bacterial SSU rRNA
Rfam family: Archaeal small subunit ribosomal RNA
Source: RNAcentral
AAUCCCCCAUAGGCCUGAGGUACUGGAAGGUCCUCAGGCCGAAAGGGGCUCUGCCCGCCCGAGGAUGGGCCGGCGGCCGAUUAGGUAGUUGGUGGGGUAACGGCCCACCAAGCCGAAGAUCGGUACGGGCCAUGAGAGUGGGAGCCCGGAGAUGGACACUGAGACACGGGUCCAGGCCCUACGGGGCGCAGCAGGCGCGAAACCUCCGCAAUGCGGGCAACCGCGACGGGGGGACCCCCAGUGCCGUGGCAACGCCACGGCUUUUCCGGAGUGUAAAAAGCUCCGGGAAUAAGGGCUGGGCAAGGCCGGUGGCAGCCGCCGCGGUAAUACCGGCGGCCCGAGUGGUGGCCGCUAUUAUUGGGCCUAAAGCAUCCGUAGCCGGGCCCGUAAGUCCCUGGCGAAAUCCCACGGCUCAACCGUGGGGCUUGCUGGGGAUACUGCGGGCCUUGGGACCGGGAGAGGCCGGGGGUACCCCUGGGGUAGGGGUGAAAUCCUAUAAUCCCAGGGGGACCGCCAGUGGGGAAGGCGCCCGGCUGGAACGGGUCUGACGGUGAGGGACGAAGGCCAGGGGAGCGAACCGGAUUAGAUACCCGGGUAGUCCUGGCUGUAAAGGAUGCGGGCUAGGUGUCGGGCGAGCUUCGAGCUCGCCCGGUGCCGAAGGGAAGCCGUU